RNAcentral lists this ribosomal RNA (548 nucleotides) under uncultured Glomeromycotina. Its description in RNAcentral is "SSU rRNA". It matches the Rfam family "Eukaryotic small subunit ribosomal RNA", at positions 548 to 1098 of the family's 1831-position model. The record is from RNAcentral. Lineage: Eukaryota; Fungi; Glomeromycota.
UUGGAGGGCAAGUCUGGUGCCCGCAGCCGCGGUAAUUCCAGCUCCAAUAGCGUAUAUUAAAGUUGCUGCAGUUAAAAAGCUCGUAGUUGAAUUUCGGGACCAUCAUGUCGGUCGUGCCUCGGUACGUACUGGCAUUGUUGGUUUCUCCCUUCUGACGAACCACGAUGUCAUUUAUUUGGUGUUGUGGGGAAUCAGGACUGUUACUUUGAAAAAAUUAGAGUGUUUAAAGCAGGCUCACGCUUGAAUACAUUAGCAUGGAAUAAUGAAAUAGGACGUUUGAUUCUAUUUUGUUGGUUUCUAGGAUCGACGUAAUGAUUAAUAGGGAUAGUUGGGGGCAUUAGUAUUCAAUUGUCAGAGGUGAAAUUCUUGGAUUUAUUGAAGACUAACUACUGCGAAAGCAUUUGCCAAGGAUGUUUUCAUUAAUCAAGAACGAAAGUUAGGGGAUCGAAGACGAUCAGAUACCGUCGUAGUCUUAACCAUAAACUAUGCCGACUAGGGAUCGGAUGAUGUUAAUUUUUUAAUGACUCAUUCGGCGCCUUACGGGAAAC